UAGGGAAUCUUCGGCAAUGGACGAAAGUCUGACCGAGCAACGCCGCGUGAGUGAAGAAGGUUUUCGGAUCGUAAAACUCUGUUGUUAGAGAAGAACAAGGACGUUAGUAACUGAACGUCCCCUGACGGUAUCUAACCAGAAAGCCACGGCUAACUACGUGCCAGCAGCCGCGGUAAUACGUAGGUGGCAAGCGUUGUCCGGAUUUAUUGGGCGUAAAGCGAGCGCAGGCGGUUUCUUAAGUCUGAUGUGAAAGCCCCCGGCUCAACCGGGGAGGGUCAUUGGAAACUGGGAGACUUGAGUGCAGAAGAGGAGAGUGGAAUUCCAUGUGUAGCGGUUAAAUGCGUAGAUAUAUGGAGGAACACCAGUGGCGAAGGCGGCUCUCUGGUCUGUAACUGACGCUGAGGCUCGAAAGCGUGGGGAGCAAACAGG
This 429-nucleotide ribosomal RNA is filed under the name Gemmatimonadota bacterium. RNAcentral describes it as "Gemmatimonadetes bacterium partial 16S ribosomal RNA". It matches the Rfam family "Bacterial small subunit ribosomal RNA", at positions 355 to 776 of the family's 1533-position model. The record is from RNAcentral. Lineage: Bacteria; Pseudomonadati; Gemmatimonadota.